This 490-nucleotide ribosomal RNA is filed under the name uncultured bacterium. RNAcentral describes it as "partial 16S ribosomal RNA". It matches the Rfam family "Bacterial small subunit ribosomal RNA", at positions 28 to 507 of the family's 1533-position model. The record is from RNAcentral.
GAUGAACGCUAGCUACAGGCUUAACACAUGCAAGUCGCGGGGCAGCAUGGGGGUUGCUUGCAAUCCCCGAUGGCGACCGGCGCACGGGUGAGUAACGCGUAUCCAACCUGCCCUUCACCACGGGAUAACCCGGCGAAAGUCGGACUAAUACCGUAUGUUGUCCAUUGACGGCAUCCGAUUUGGACGAAAGGUUUGGCGGUGAAGGAUGGGGAUGCGUCCGAUUAGCUGGACGGCGGGGUGACGGCCCACCGUGGCGACGAUCGGUAGGGGUUCUGAGAGGAAGGUCCCCCACACUGGAACUGAGACACGGUCCAGACUCCUACGGGAGGCAGCAGUGAGGAAUAUUGGUCAAUGGGCGUAAGCCUGAACCAGCCAAGUAGCGUGCAGGAUGACGGCCCUAUGGGUUGUAAACCGCUUUUAUGCGGGGAUAAAGUGGCCCACGUGUGGGUUUUUGCAGGUACCGCAUGAAUAAGGACCGGCUAAUUCCGUG